This is a transfer RNA of Arcobacter sp., 74 nucleotides long. It matches the Rfam family "tRNA". Rfam says of the family: Transfer RNA (tRNA) molecules are approximately 80 nucleotides in length. Their secondary structure includes four short double-helical elements and three loops (D, anti-codon, and T loops). The record is from Rfam. NCBI's taxonomy places the organism in Bacteria, Pseudomonadati, Campylobacterota, Epsilonproteobacteria, Campylobacterales, Arcobacteraceae.
GUCAAGGUAGCUCAGCUGGCUAGAGCGCUGGUCUCAUAAGCCGGAGGUCGAGAGUUCAAGUCUCUCUCUUGACA